AGUGAACGCUGGCGGUAGGCCUAACACAUGCAAGUCGAACGGCAGCACAGUAAGAGCUUGCUCUUACGGGUGGCGAGUGGCGGACGGGUGAGGAAUACAUCGGAAUCUACUUUUUCGUGGGGGAUAACGUAGGGAAACUUACGCUAAUACCGCAUACGACCUACGGGUGAAAGCAGGGGAUCUUCGGACCUUGCGCGAUUGAAUGAGCCGAUGUCGGAUUAGCUAGUUGGCGGGGUAAAGGCCCACCAAGGCGACGAUCCGUAGCUGGUCUGAGAGGAUGAUCGGCAACACUGGAACUGAGACACGGUCCAGACUCCUACGGGAGGCAGCAGUGGGGAAUAUUGGACAAUGGGCGCAAGCCUGAUCCAGCCAUACCGCGUGGGUGAAGAAGGCCUUCGGGUUGUAAAGCCCUUUUGUUGGGAAAGAAAAGCAGCAGGUUAAACCCCGCUGUUCUGACGGUACCCAAAGAAUAAGCACCGGCUAACUUCGUG
RNAcentral lists this ribosomal RNA (491 nucleotides) under uncultured bacterium. RNAcentral describes it as "partial 16S ribosomal RNA". It matches the Rfam family "Bacterial small subunit ribosomal RNA", at positions 29 to 507 of the family's 1533-position model. The record is from RNAcentral.